Long non-coding RNA from Fukomys damarensis (Damara mole-rat), 643 nucleotides. RefSeq lists it as uncharacterized. Lineage: Eukaryota; Metazoa; Chordata; Mammalia; Rodentia; Bathyergidae. The transcript is spliced from 3 exons. The record is from RefSeq and is a predicted model, not a curated record.
UCAUUUGUGCAGCUGUGGAUGGGUGUGGAACGGAUGUGCCGCGGCACCAGGGCCCAGAGAGGGCUAAUUAAUUGGACGUCCAGGGAGGGAGGCACUUGCGUUUCUGUUCUUUGAUUUAGGACUUCAAAUAGGAGAAAGGGCCUGCCUGGCGUCCCAUAGGCAGCCUGAACCAUCAGUGCCAGCAAGAAGUGAAAUCUGCCUCCCCGCCCCCCACCGCGCAUGAACUAGGAACUCACACCUGUAAUCCCAGUACUCAAGAGGCUGAGGAAAGAGGACUGUUGUGAGCUCAGUGCAAACUUGAACUGCGAAGAGAGAAGAAAAAAAAAAGGAAAGAAGGAAGGAAGGAACAAAUUCUCUAAUGCCUAAAAUAAGUACAGUUUCUUGUUCUCUUCUGGAAACCUAAUACCAAUAAAACAAUUACCCUUAGCCAGGCACCAUGCCACGUGCCUAUCAUCCCAGGUUCUGGAAAGCUGAGGCAGGAGGAUCUCAAAUUCAAGCCUAGCCCAAGCAACUUGGCAAGACAGUGUCUCCAAAAAGAGACACAUACAUAUAUACACAUGUACACACAACUACGCAGUGUGUAUAAUAUGUACGUAUAUCCAUGAGGAGCUGAGGAUAUAGCUCAGUAUGACUGCCCAGUAAU